GAGUUUGAUCGUGGCUCAGAUUGAACGCUGGCGGCAUGCCUUACACAUGCAAGUCGAACGGCAGCACGGGAGCUUGCUCCUGGUGGCGAGUGGCGAACGGGUGAGUAAUGCAUCGGAACGUAUCCUGGGGUGGGGGAUAACGUAGCGAAAGUUACGCUAAUACCGCAUAUUCUGUGAGCAGGAAAGCGGGGGACCUUCGGGCCUCGCGCUCUUGGAGCGGCCGAUGUCGGAUUAGCUAGUUGGUGAGGUAAAGGCUCACCAAGGCGACGAUCCGUAGCAGGUCUGAGAGGAUGAUCUGCCACACUGGAACUGAGACACGGUCCAGACUCCUACGGGAGGCAGCAGUGGGGAAUUUUGGACAAUGGGGGCAACCCUGAUCCAGCCAUGCCGCGUGAGUGAAGAAGGCCUCGGUGUAAG
This 417-nucleotide ribosomal RNA is filed under the name bacterium enrichment culture clone ALO1_GLFRUDD03F47LY. RNAcentral's name for it is "bacterial SSU rRNA". It matches the Rfam family "Bacterial small subunit ribosomal RNA", at positions 9 to 429 of the family's 1533-position model. The record is from RNAcentral.